AUCAUGGCUCAGAUUGAACGCUGGCGGCAGGCCUAACACAUGCAAGUCGAACGGUAACAGGAGAAGCUUGCUCUUGCUGACGAGUGGCGGACGGGUGAGUAAUGUCUGGGAAACUGCCUGAUGGAGGGGGAUAACUACUGGAAACGGUAGCUAAUACCGCAUAACGUCGCAAGACCAAAGAGGGGGACCUUCGGGCCUCUUGCCAUCGGAUGUGCCCAGAUGGGAUUAGCUAGUAGGUGGGGUAACGGCUCACCUAGGCGACGAUCCCUAGCUGGUCUGAGAGGAUGACCAGCCACACUGGAACUGAGACACGGUCCAGACUCCUACGGGAGGCAGCAGUGGGGAAUAUUGCACAAUGGGCGCAAGCCUGAUGCAGCCAUGCUGCGUGUAUGAAGAAGGCCUUCGGGUUGUAAAGUACUUUCAGCGGGGAGGAAGGGAGUAAAGUUAAUACCUUUGCUCAUUGACGUUACCCGCAGAAGAAGCACCGGCUAACUCCGUGCCAGCCGCGGC
RNAcentral lists this ribosomal RNA (510 nucleotides) under uncultured bacterium. RNAcentral's name for it is "bacterial SSU rRNA". It matches the Rfam family "Bacterial small subunit ribosomal RNA", at positions 16 to 518 of the family's 1533-position model. The record is from RNAcentral.